CUAAUCAUUAUAUUCAAUGGCCUUUUGGAGAAAGAAAAAUGGCACCCAAAAAAUUCAUCCUUCUGUCCUUUCACUAUCCAUGGGAUCAGAUAAUUAUCGAAUUUUUCGAGGUCGGGAUCGAGAAUAUUUGCAAGCAAGAAGGGCAUUUCUCAGCAGUUAUCAGCUUAGUGAAAGCAACAGGUUGAAGAAGAAGAUAAAGAGGUUUUUAGAAGGGGCUAGGGAGACAGCCAUGGCUGCAGUUGCAAAGAGAAAGAAGAUUACUGGAAUUAGGGCUUACAAGUUUACACUGACUUGGCCAACUGAAUUUGUUAUAAGAUGCUUUGUUCCAGGAAGGAGAUAAUUCUCAGGUGAAUUAUUGAAUAUUUAUAUAAAUAGACAGGAAUUAUAAUAUAUACAUGCAUAUUUAUGUAUACAUUUAUGUAUGCUUGUUAUUUUAUUUAUAAGAAAAGAAUUGAUAUAUUUCUACCUUUUAUAUAUAUAUAAAGGGUUAUAUUAUGAUAUUGUGUGAGACUUAUAUAUGUUGAGUGCGUG
RNAcentral lists this long non-coding RNA (531 nucleotides) under Olea europaea (common olive). RNAcentral's name for it is "long non-coding RNA (OEUR_LNC012270)". Lineage: Eukaryota; Viridiplantae; Streptophyta; Magnoliopsida; Lamiales; Oleaceae. The record is from RNAcentral.